RNAcentral lists this ribosomal RNA (468 nucleotides) under uncultured bacterium. RNAcentral describes it as "partial 16S ribosomal RNA". It matches the Rfam family "Bacterial small subunit ribosomal RNA", at positions 28 to 507 of the family's 1533-position model. The record is from RNAcentral.
GACGAACGCUGGCGGCGUGCUUAACACAUGCAAGUCGAACGGAAAGGCCCUGCUUUUGUGGGUUGCUCGAGUGGCGAACGGUUGAGUAACACGUGAGUAACCUGCCCUUGACUUUGGGAUAACUUCAGGAAACUUUGUCUAAUACCGGAUAGGAGCUCCUGCUGCAUGGUGGUGGUUGGAAAGUUUCGUCCGUUGGGGAUGGACUCGCGGCUUAUCAGCUUUUUGGUGGGGUAGUGGCUUACCAAGGCUUUGACUGUUAGCCGGCCUGACAGGGUGACCGGGGAGAUUGGGAAUGGAAUACCGCCCCGAGUCCCACGGGAGGCAGCAGUAGGAAGUAUAGCACAAUCGGCGGAAGUCAGAUGCAAGAACGCGGCGUGCGGGAUAGUGGCAUUCGGGUCGCAAAUGGCUACCGCGAAAGAAGAAAAAUGAGUGACGGUAAUGGGGAGAAAAGAACGGGAUAACUACGUU